GUUUAACCUGCCCACUGAUUUUUAAAGGGCCGCGGUAUACUAACCGUGCUAAGGUAGCAUAAUCAAUAGUCUUUUAAUUAAAGACUUGAAUGAAUGGUUGGACGAGAAAUUAACUGUCUUAUAUGUAAAAAUUGAAUUUUACUUUUAAGUGAAAAGGCUUAAAUAGAGUUAGGGGACGAUAAGACCCUAUGAAGCUUUAUGUUUAUUAAUUAAGAAUUGAUAAUUUUGGGUUGAUAUAAUUCAUAAUUAUCUACAUUUAGCUGGGGCGGCUGUAAUAUAAAUAUUUUAUAUAACUGUUAAAAAUAAAAAAUAGAUUUAUUUAGUUUAUAUGAUCCUUUAAUAAGGAUUAAAAGAUUAAAGUUACUCUAGGGAUAACAGCGUAAUUUUUCUUGAGAGUCCAUAUCGACAGAAAUAGUUGCGACCUCGAUGUUGAAUUAAAAUUUCUUCAGGGUGUAGAAGUUCUGAUAGUAGGUCUGUUC
Molecule: ribosomal RNA, 479 nt
Filed under: Troglocaris inermis
Lineage: Eukaryota; Metazoa; Arthropoda; Malacostraca; Decapoda; Atyidae
Description: partial 16S ribosomal RNA
Rfam family: Bacterial large subunit ribosomal RNA
Source: RNAcentral